RNAcentral lists this ribosomal RNA (448 nucleotides) under uncultured bacterium. Its description in RNAcentral is "bacterial SSU rRNA". It matches the Rfam family "Bacterial small subunit ribosomal RNA", at positions 295 to 740 of the family's 1533-position model. The record is from RNAcentral.
AGAGGAAGGUCCCCCACAUUGGAACUGAGACACGGUCCAAACUCCUACGGGAGGCAGCAGUGAGGAAUAUUGGUCAAUGGGCGCAGGCCUGAACCAGCCAAGUAGCGUGAAGGAUGACUGCCCUAUGGGUUGUAAACUUCUUUUAUAAAGGAAUAAAGUCGGGUAUGGAUACCCGUUUGCAUGUACUUUAUGAAUAAGGAUCGGCUAACUCCGUGCCAGCAGCCGCGGUAAUACGGAGGAUCCGAGCGUUAUCCGGAUUUAUUGGGUUUAAAGGGAGCGUAGAUGGAUGUUUAAGUCAGUUGUGAAAGUUUGCGGCUCAACCGUAAAAUUGCAGUUGAUACUGGAUAUCUUGAGUGCAGUUGAGGCAGGCGGAAUUCGUGGUGUAGCGGUGAAAUGCUUAGAUAUCACGAAGAACUCCGAUUGCGAAGGCAGCCUGCUAAGCUGCAAC